Molecule: long non-coding RNA, 355 nt
Filed under: Helianthus annuus (common sunflower)
Lineage: Eukaryota; Viridiplantae; Streptophyta; Magnoliopsida; Asterales; Asteraceae
Description: hypothetical non coding rna
Source: RNAcentral
CUUCUCUCGUUGCCAAAAUUCUCUCAUGUUAAAAUCGUAUUAUUCCGGUGAAGAUUCGUUGUUUUUCCGACAAACCAAAAACAAACCCAAAACACCAAACAAGUAAAAUCAUGUUACCUAUCCUCACCUUUUGAUCACGUCUUUACGUUCGGAAACCUCUCGUGACACCCAACACAGUUUUCCGGCCAACCUACUCGUUCUCCGGCAACCUCUGUAGCAUCGACCAAGCUCUAUUCUACUCCAGAAAGAUCGUUACAAACACUCCGUGAACAAAUCAACGUCAAUUGAAAGGUUUAAGGUCGCGGAUUCCUUCCUUUACUAUCUGUAUAGUAUGGGUUAGCAGGGAUGGCGGGAA